UGCCCUCUCAGUGCUCUCUUGCUGCCCCUCCUCAGGGGCAGGAUGCGGAGGAAUAGCAUGAGAAUGCUCGUAGGACGAGAUGAAUACAGGGAGGUCACUUACCAGUGACUGUCAUGGGGAAAAUAGACCUACCUUGGAGAAAACAAAGUUAAUGUAUUGACAAUUGAAAUAGAUUUGCGAGUGAGAAACAAUGAUUAAAACCACACCCAAGCCCUAGAGCAGCACGAGAGAAUGGGGAAUGGGGACUGAUCAGUACAGAACAGCUCCUCUCUGAUGAUCCUUGCUCCAGAGUGGGUUAUUCCAUGGGCCGCAGUCCUGCAGGAUAAACCACCUCCAGCGCGGUCUCUCCAGAGGAGUAUCUGAUCGAGCACCUGCGGUACAUCAUUCUACAGCUUCUUGUCUGACCUUGCUGUCUGCAAGGCCGUUUCUUACACCUUUUUCCCUCUUCCUCUGCCUUUGUGGCAUUUCUUUGCCCACCCUUGAACACAUUUUCACCACGCGGCCGUGCCCGGCGGUGGGCGGGCUGGGACGGGCAGGGCCCCUCACGGAGCAGCCCCGCAGGCCCGCCCGGGCCCCGGCACCCGCCGCGGGAGGCCUGAGGGGCAGGAUGGCCAUUUGCUGGCCCAUAGAUCUGAACACAGAGACACUUCAAGACAGGCUAAAUGCGUUACCCCAGCUCUUGACUUGGGCGUGUGACAGAGCAGCCUCAGCCGGGCUUUGCUGCUCGCUGUGUGCCGGACUGGCAGAGCAGUAGCUGCCUUGGCUCACGGUUAUGCACGAACGCAGCUGAGCAGAAUUUUCUUGACUUUAAGCAUCUUUGGAUGUUUUUGUCAUUUUGUCCAUGACCGGAGAGAUAUACUUAUUACAUGAAGUGUUGUAUUUUUUACAUUUUGAUUUCUUUAAUCUCUUUAGUUCGCUACAAGCAUUAAAAAGCAACUCCUGCUUUAUUAGCAGAAGUUUUCUCUUUAAUUGGGUGCUAAUGAUGGUGCUUUUUCAAGGAUUUUCACAGCUAGUACCUUGGGUGUUGAAACAAAGCAACAUCUCAUUGUGACUGAACAAAAACCCUACUUCAAACUAAUUGCCCUCUAUCUUUGAAUAAGCUAUAGGAAUGCAUCACCUUCUUUAACAAUGCCCUCUGGUCAGCUGGCUUUCUGCACUAGGCAUUCUGCUCCAGACAGAUGUGGGGAAUAUUAAUCAUGACAGGGUUUUACCUCCUACUGACCUGACCUUCACUGGGGAAGUGAAGAUCUCAGAAUCAGAAUAUCUGAAAGAGCAGAUUAAUUCAGGAUGAGUCCUCUUCAUUUUGGGCCAGAUCUCAAACCAGAAUCAAUCUGAAAACUCUGCUGAAGGUAAAAGAAUCUCGUUAUUGAAACCAGUCGAAUGUCUCCUGCCACAGUAAUCUCUGCACGCUUAGGAGAACUUUACUUUUCACUUGAUUCUAGGAUACCUAAAAUAUUAAAGCCACUUAAAUAAGUAUACCCAUAUUAUAUGUAAAUGGUAUAAUUUAGAUUCUUUGGAAGUCGAACUAAAACUAUCAUGAUUGGCACCUUGAA
Molecule: long non-coding RNA, 1553 nt
Organism: Vidua chalybeata
Lineage: Eukaryota; Metazoa; Chordata; Aves; Passeriformes; Viduidae
Exons: 4
Source: RefSeq, a predicted model, not a curated record